RNAcentral lists this ribosomal RNA (112 nucleotides) under Lepisosteus oculatus (spotted gar). Lineage: Eukaryota; Metazoa; Chordata; Actinopteri; Semionotiformes; Lepisosteidae. The record is from RNAcentral.
CACAGCAGCCAUAUCAACUCACAACUGGCAACCCACUGAAGCUAAGCAGGUGUGAGCCUGGUCAGUACCUGGAUGGGAGACCUCUUGGGAAAAACUAAGGUUGCUGCUGGAA